GGUUUUGGAUGGACUCGCGGCCUAUCAGCUUGUUGGUGAGGUAAUGGCUCACCAAGGCGACGACGGGUAGCCGGCCUGAGAGGGUGACCGGCCACACUGGGACUGAGACACGGCCCAGACUCCUACGGGAGGCAGCAGUGGGGAAUAUUGCACAAUGGGCGCAAGCCUGAUGCAGCGACGCCGCGUGAGGGAUGACGGCCUUCGGGUUGUAAACCUCUUUCAGUAGGGAAGAAGCGAAAGUGACGGUACCUGCAGAAGAAGCACCGGCUAACUACGUGCCAGCAGCCGCGGUAAUACGUAGGGUGCGAGCGUUAUCCGGAAUUAUUGGGCGUAAAGAGCUCGUAGGCGGUUUGUCGCGUCUGUCGUGAAAGUCCGGGGCUUAACCCCGGAUCUGCGGUGGGUACGGGCAGACUAGAGUGCAGUAGGGGAGACUGGAAUUCCUGGUGUAGCGGUGGAAUGCGCAGAUAUCAGGAGGAACACCGAUGGCGAAGGCAGGUCUCUGGGCUGUAACUGACGCUGAGGAGCGAAAGCAUGGGGAGCGAACAGGAUUAGAUACCCUGGUAGUCCAUGCCGUAAACGUUGGGCACUAGGUGUGGGGACCAUUCCACGGUUUCCGCGCCGCAGCUAACGC
This 631-nucleotide ribosomal RNA is filed under the name Micrococcus luteus. RNAcentral's name for it is "bacterial SSU rRNA". It matches the Rfam family "Bacterial small subunit ribosomal RNA", at positions 217 to 858 of the family's 1533-position model. The record is from RNAcentral. Lineage: Bacteria; Bacillati; Actinomycetota; Actinomycetes; Micrococcales; Micrococcaceae.